Molecule: unclassified non-coding RNA, 251 nt
Filed under: uncultured fungus
Lineage: Eukaryota; Fungi
Description: partial contains 5.8S ribosomal RNA, internal transcribed spacer 2, and large subunit ribosomal RNA
Source: RNAcentral
AACGCACAUUGCGCCCCUUGGUAUUCCAUGGGGCAUGCCUGUUCGAGCGUCAUUUGUACCUUCAAGCUCUGCUUGGUGUUGGGUGUUUGUCUCGCCUUUUGCGUGUAGACUCGCCUCAAAACGAUUGGCAGCCGGCGUAUUGAUUUCGGAGCGCAGUACAUCUCGCGCUUUGCACUCACAACGACGACGUCCAAAAAGUACAUUUUUACACUCUUGACCUCGGAUCAGGUAGGGAUACCCGCUGAACUUAA